GUUUUCAGAAAUACUUUUUCAAAAGUUCAACGUAUUGCCUUCUGCUCUGAACUUUCGUUUUGUCAUUCUGUGAAUUUUUUCAGCACUAGAAAUGAAUAUUACCUCCUAAAUUUAAAAUGGAAUGCCUCAAAAUUGACUUAUUUGACAUUCAAAGCACAUUAAUUUUUUGCUCUUAGAUGUUAAAUUUCAAUGGUUAUUAGGAUUCCAAAACAACUCUCUAUCUAUUGGUUUUUCAUUUGGAGUCAUGAUUUUUUUGUGGGUGGGCAUUUAUGGUUACACAGCUUACACGACUAGCAAGUUUAGCCUCAUAGGAUUGACAAAAGCUUUGCAAUAGGAGGCCAUUGUAGACAACAUUUAUAUCUCACUUAUAUUUCCUCUAGCAACAGAAACCCCAGGGGUUAAAGCAAGGUUUUUGAAUCUUUACUUUCUCUGCUUUGCUAUGAAUUUUAUAAUCUCAAUUUUCGAGUCUGCUAUUGACCUCUCCUAAUGAUAGCGGAGAAACUAGGGAGUUAUUGUGCUAAAACACUGAUAUUAUUGGCCCUUUUGCCUUUUAUUUUGAAGAUUUUAAUGUUGUCUGUUUAUCUAAACAAAAGUCUAAUAACAGUGAUCGAAGAAUUAAUAAAAUUUAGCAUGAAAAUAUGUAAUUUCUAUGAAUGUGUGACAUGGUAAGACCAUGUUAUUUUGAAGAUUUGAAUGUUCUUUGUUUAUCUAAACAAAACUCUUAUAACAAUGAUUGAAGAAUUAAUAAAAUUUGGCAUGAAAAUAUGUAAUUUAUAUGAAUGUGUGACAUGGUAAGACCAUGUUAUCUAAAUAUUUGUUUUGCUGAUAUUAGGUGGAUUAUUGGUGUUACACACUUCGCCAUUAUUUAGAAUGGGACAAUAUUGUUUUCUUAUUCCCCUGAUUGGUUGCUAAAUUGAGGAAAAGAAAAGGAAAAAUAUUAGAGCUAUGCAGUAUACUGUUGUGUUGGAGAGAAAAAUUAAAAAUCUCAAGUAUGCUUAACCUGAUGACCUUAGCAAUACUCAAUAGAUUUUAUUAUUUCUUUGCUUGGGACCAAACCUAUGGACAUAUAAAGUUUCAAUUUUCCUAUUACCUUUUUAUUGUUUCUCUUGUUUUCCUGCCAUAGAUUAAUAUGAAUUCUAGUUUUAAACUUUUAGUUUUUGUUAAUUGUAUAGAAUAGUUUGUUGGCUUUUGUGAUUGACUUUCAUAAAUAAUUGUGUUCUAAACUCAAAAGCUAUUUUGGAAAAUUUAAAUGUUGUCAUUGCAAAUUUGACUUUAAGGGAAAUGAAAUUUGGCUGGCAAAUUGAUGAUUGUAGCAUAAUUGGAUUCUUUGGAGCAACAUUUGGUGUUGGUGGUGGUGGCAGUUUUGUUACAUGUGGUGGCAGUUUUGUUACAUGUGGUAGGAGUUCUGUUAAAGAUCUAUAAUUCAUUCUAACCAAAUUCAGAAACCUCAUUGGGACAGGGGUUAGGAAGUGGUAAAAAUAAAGGAAAUGAUAAAAAGAAAUAUUUUUAAAAUACCACCAAUCUAGCCUGCUGUUUUAGUUGACUCAGUACUUGAUUUUGCAUAUUUCAAGCACUGGGUUUGAGAUCAUUGUCAUAGAUUUUCUAGUAUCAACCGAUUUUUUUAGAAUAAAAAGAGAAUUGAUUUACUACACUGACAUGCCAGCAGCUUUGUGAGUUGAGUUCAUGACUUUUAAGGGACCUCAAUUCUUUGAACCUUGAACAUGAAGCUUAGCAACCAUUGCUUCUCUGAGACAAUUGUCCUUGAUUUAGCUUUAAGAACUGUUUUAUCUAAUUAAUAAAUAGCUAGCUGAAGACAAGGGAUAUCUCUUUGCAAAUCUCAUUUACAUGGUUAUAUGAAACUGCUCUCUUAUAAUUGAGGAAGUCAUAAAUUCUAUUUGUUGGUCAUGCAUGGUUAUGGGUGCAGUAGGCUCAACUGUUUACUAUAAUCUUAAGCUAAGGCAUCCUACACUUGAUAUGCCUAUCAUUUGCUAUGAUUUGGCGCUGCUCUUCCAACCAAUGCUCAUGAUGGGCAUUAGCAUCGGGGUUGUUUUUAAUGUUGCAGUUGCUGACUGGAUGGUUACAAUUUUGCUAAUUGUUCUCUUCUUAGGCACACCAACAAAGGCAUUCAUAAAGGGUGUCGAAACAUGGAAGAAAGAAACCAUAAUGAAAAGGAGGUUGCUAAGCGUUUAGGAACAAAUGGUGAGUUGGCCUAUCAGGCAAAAGAGGAUUCUUUUUCCAUUAUUUAUUCUCCCCAAAAUCAUUGCUAAAUCUUUUUCAUCCUGUCAAGCAAUGGUACGAAGGAAGUAGAGUACAAGCCUCUUCCUAGUGGCCUAAGUAAUGGCACUCAAAAUGCCACCAGGAAAUUUGAAGAACUAGAGGUCAGUAUUAAAAUGUUUAAACUGGAUGGAACUUGGGCUUCUUGUUCUCGAUUGGGUUGCUUUCCUUACAUUGCAGAUUGCAAAGGUUUCCUCAUUCCUGACCUUAUUUGGGAAGGAUCUCAAUCAACAAAAUAACUACAUUCUUAUCCUAAAGGACAUCAUUUUCCAAAACAACAAAUGCAGCCAGAAUCCAUUAGUUUCUAAGGAAGAUUGAACUCACAAGCAAAAGAAAAAGCUUCAAUCUACUGUCUCGUCUUCUACAACACACAAGUACCUUAAUAAACCAGGAACCACCCAUCAUUUUCAGAAGUCAUUGACCAUGUCAUCUUCCUCAACAUCAACAACAACAGGGAAGCAGAGAACAAUGGACGGGAAAUUGCAAAGACAAUGUAGCUUCUCAACUUCAUGGCAUAGAAACUAUUCUAGAGGUUGAUACUUCUAAAAGCAAAAGGUUCACAUCAUCAGAGUUGAAGUUUGCAAUUACUAGAGAUUUCAGCCUUGAAAUGGUGAUAGGAGAAGGUGGGCAUAGUAAAGUGUACCUUAGAUGAUCCUGCUUGUGGUUUUACACAAGUUUCCAAUAUAAUGGAGCACAAGAAGUUAUAGUUUUCCUUUUA
This is a long non-coding RNA of Vitis vinifera (wine grape), 2992 nucleotides long. RefSeq lists it as uncharacterized. The record is from RefSeq and is a predicted model, not a curated record. Lineage: Eukaryota; Viridiplantae; Streptophyta; Magnoliopsida; Vitales; Vitaceae. The transcript has 5 exons.